UCGAAAAAGGCAAACCCCGCGAAAGCGGGGGGCGCAAAGUCACGGGUCUACAGCACGCCUGCGUGCCAUGACGGCCGGACUGCCG
RNAcentral lists this non-coding RNA (85 nucleotides) under marine sediment metagenome. RNAcentral describes it as "c-di-GMP-I riboswitch aptamer". It matches the Rfam family "c-di-GMP-I-GGC riboswitch aptamer". RNAcentral also lists the same sequence under 1 other name. The record is from RNAcentral.